GGACGUGCCCGGCUGCCCCCGCCACGCCGCUGCCGCCUCAGCCGGCGGCCAUCUCCGCCCCUACCCACCGGCAGCGCGGGGAGGGGAACCGGGGCCGGCUGAGGCGAGGCGAGGCGGGGCCCUGUGAGGAGAAGGCGGUCUCGCAGCUGGAAGAGCCCUCGGUGCUUUCAGGGACGCGGGCAGCACCCACCGCCUGGCCCCAUCUGGCAUCUCCUGGCCCAUCCUCAGUGCCCCUCAGGGAGCAGCCGGAAUCUUUUAAAAGCACAGACAACGUGCAUUCCUUCUUACUCAUCUUGCUUUUUGCAUCUCAGAAGUAAGGGGGAGGCAAGUGUAACAAAUUGCUGUGUUACUCAAGGUAUAGAGGUGAAGCAGUUGGUGUUCUGCUUCCUGUUUUCCUUUCCUCUUGUCUCUGAACUGAUUGAAGAACAUUUUAGCAAGAUGCUCGUGUUUCAAAACAACGUACUCUCAGGUCUCAGCCAGAGAACAUCUAAUCUCAUCCUCCAUAGGCUUAGGGUACGUGAUGUGGUUGAGAGGGUGUUUGGUUAUACUUUUAACUUAGCUACAAAUAACACCUUGUGAUUCAUCCUGUAACAGAUCUCCUCUAAGAUUAAGUUCACAGGCUGAAACUGAACUGUGUUGAAGUCCAGAUGUGAAUCUACUUUCUUCCGGGCAUUAGUUGUAGUAGGGCAUUUAUUUUUUUUCAAAAGAAAACCUUUUUCUAGGACUUACUCUGUGGCAUUUACAUCCUUCACUGGAUCCUCGCUACAGAGUACUUUCAAGGAUCAUGAGCUUAGCCUUUCUUGUGUUUGGUUUCUGCUCUAUAUUAUGAGGAUUAACGAUGCUCACCACCUGUACAGAAUAUUUUGAUCUGUAUCCAAAGCACGACUGGUGUCCACUGAGUAGUUAUCUCUCUCUUUACUUGAACUUGCACUGAAACCAUUUGCAUAGUGCAAUUGCUAACUCUAACUUCUCUCAGAUGUCUUUUAUCAUAAAACAAUUAUUUUUAUGAGUGAUCCUUAUUUUCAUAUAAAAAACUACACAUGGCAAAACGAAUGCCUUCUGUGUCAGCCAGUGAGUAAUGGACUCUUUGUGGGCAUGAUCAGGAAAUGUGCCUUUUGUUUCCCUGCACCUGUUGCUGUACUACAAAUAAAAUCAUCCAAUGUUUUAUUAAAUAAAAUGAGAAGCCCUAAUGAAAUUGUACCAGCCAUUACCAGGAAGUCUAUUGAAAACAUUCAGCAGCUGCUCACUGUGAGUUCGUUUACACUGAUAGAGUUGUUUUGUCUUUCUCCGUAUGUGCUAAGUGGGAAAGCAACAGCACAGCCUUAGCAAACAGCAGAGCCCAUUUCGUAGCUCUAACUCCUUUUAAAGUGCUUGCUCAGAAUCUGUAAUAAGUUGUGAUCAACUGUUAAGAGUGUGUGACUUGUGAAAGUUUGUUAGCAAGCAUUCUGUCUCUUACAGCUAAGUGUCUUCCAAACUACAGCACAGUGGCAAAGCAGGUAAGGAUCUCCUGUGCUAUCUCAUUUUAUAGAGUAGGAUUGUUUCAGAGAGGCUGAGAAUCAAGUGAGUCCACCCUGGGAAAUCCUCUGGAGUGAGCUGGGGGUCACCCUUGUUUAACACAGCCAUGUGCCACCAGUCUUUCUCUAGGCCUAUAACAGAACUGACAUCUCUCUGCUGUAUUUAUAAGCUGAUGUGUGUCACGUAGCUGUGCUGGCAAGUAGGUGGGGACCCUUGCACAGAACAGAUUACUUCCUAGUAAGAGUUGCCUGAUUUAAAAGAAAAGCUAACCCUAUUGAUAAUCCCUAUGCUAAAUGCUGAAGUGUAUUUAAUAUUAAAACUCCUCACAAGUUGCAUCGUAACCAUAGCUGCUUUGUGUACAGGAAAAGGGUUGCUGAAGACUUUCUGCUAAAAAUAGCGUAAUAAAAAAUUGUGUUCAAACUUGCGUGAUGCAAACCUUUCUAGGUUUGCUUUCAGAAAUACCUCAGAUGCAAAGCAGUUGAAUGAAAUGUCAGCCAAGCAGCACGUGGUGCAGCCCUCCCUUCCCACAGCGGCUCAGAAGGCAGCAGCUGCCUGUGAGUGGCGUGAGGCCCUGCGGUGCCCGAGCAUCUCCUGCUGCAGCACUCCCUCUGUACUGCGGAGUUUCCUUCCCUUUUGGUGGGAGCAGAAACAGUAUCACAGAGCCUGUCUCCUGUUCUGUUUGUGACAUUGCAGAUCUGUGCAUCUCCUCUGAACUUAUCCCAGUACAACCCGUGAAGAAUUUAGGCUCAAAUGUAAGGAAGUGAAGCAAAUACAGUCAUCCAGAGCUCAAGCCACAGCGAUGAGCUCCUUCAGCAGGGCAGGCCCCAAAAAGCCCAGGUGCCUGGUGACAAAAGGGAGGACUUGCUGCAAAUUCGGGUUGAUUGAAAGCCCUGUGUUUAGCCCCAGCUGAUGGCAGUGAUAGUCAGGUCCACCUGGUGGUGGAGGAGCUGCUCUGCCCUCACUGUGGUGACUCCAUGGAAGAAAAUGGUGGGUGCUGACACUUUACUCACCCACACUGGUCUUUAUUUUUGCCCAUGUGGUAUUUAGGUUUAUUUUAUCGUGGAAAUCGCUUAGGUUUGUGGCUGGAGUAGACGCAUUGUGGUGCCGGGACAGCAAAGGGGAAGCAGCUUAGCUGCAUGAGGGGAGAAAAGGGCAGGGCACAGCUGCCUGGGGAUGAGCAGGAAUUACUUUAAACUGAGCUCACCUGAACUCAAUCUGCCAACAGAUCCAACAGGGGGCCUGAUGGGGACAUCCAACUCCUGCCAGUAACAGAGCUGCAUCUUGAAGGUGUUUCUCUGUUGCCCAGUGCUGUUGAUGCCAACCAUGAGGUUUGAAUGUUACUUUGCUGUCAUUGUGACUAUCAGAGAAGAAUUAUAUCCUCGGAGCAGCUGGAAAGCAGCCUUGCAGGGCUCAUACAGCUUAGUGCCACAGCGUAUUAUGGGCUGAGAGAAGUGCAGGUGGCUGCAGGAAGAAAGAUGAGGGGCUAAGCCAGGCAACUCUAUUUUCAGCAUUUCCAGGUUUAGUGUUUACAUAUUCAACAUCUAAUGUUUACAUAAGUCAGAUGCUUGUCAGCCUUUCUCCUGAUAUAACAAAAAGAUGACAAGUCUUGGUUAAAAUGUAAUUAAUUAAUUAAUUGAGGAACUGGGGCAUUCUGCAUUUUUCUUUCUGUUUUUCCUUGUGCUGUAUGCAGCUCUAUGAAAGCACAGGAUUGAUUUCAAACAGAAAUUGAAACAGGUCUAAGUGAGCAGUAUAUAGAGAUUCUAUAAAAUAUGUAUUUAAUAAUUAAAAAAUCAGCUCUGCAGAUACGCAGCAGAUGAAAGUAAUGGCUCCCUUGAGCAUCUGCUCCGAAGGGACUUUGCUAUUAGGAACUCACCACAGAUACAAGCAUCCCAACCAGGGCUGCAACAUUUCUACAGAUGAUAAAAAUGCAAUUUUAUUGAAGAAGAUUUUGUUUAAUUAUUUCUUAAUUGGUAGAGAAAGAUCUGUCUAUAAGAAUACUGUAACAUUGAAAGUGAGGUGAGGUUAUUUUAUCUGUACCAGAGCACAGCGUACCUGGGUGGAGCAUCUCCACUAACUACUGAUUUGCAUUAAUACUGAUUAGUGUUUUCCCAGUGAUUAUUUAAUUUCCCCCAAAAGUUAGGAGUAAUCACAUCUUCUUAAAAAGAAAAAUAACUAGAAAAUUAUAUAGGGUAUAUGAAAUACUAGGAGGAAAGUCAGUAAGACCACUAUAAAAUUUUAUUGCAGGAAGGACAUCAUCUUGAAAGUCCUUGUAGCAUUCUUUUAACUGUCUAUAAUAUUUAAAAGCUGUUUAAAUAGCACUCCACUAACUUAUAUAUGUGUUUAUACUUGUUCCCACUAAGGUUAUCCUGCACUCUGGAAGUUAAGUCAACACCGGUAAGAAGAAAGUUGCUUUGAAAUACCUGAUGUAAAAGUGGCCUGAUAAAUAACCAAACAUUGGACUUCACCUGCUGAUAAAACGAAGAAGGCAGACACUUACCAACAGCAAGAAGAAGAAUACUGGCUACAAAACAGCCUGCACCUACACUGAGGUAAUAAACACCAACACGCAUCUCUGCUGGCCAGAGUGGAAACAGGGUUGCAGCUAUAACAGCGAUCACUAAAUAGGAAGAUAAGAACAAACAUAUGAGACACGUGCUUAGUUGUUCCUCGUACAUACACGAAGGUUCUAGGCUUACCAUUUACUCAAGGUAUUGGCUUAGCAAAGUAUGAGUUACACGACAGCAUUUUAGGCCUUGACUGAAAUAUUUUCUAGUUCCCCUGCUGUUUUCAUAGUGCUUACACAGACACCAGGGACCACACUGAGCAAGUCUACAUUGUUAUACUUGAUCAAAAGACAAAGGAGCACCCCUGGAAAGGCAAUAAGCAAAAAGGUGAGCAGGGAGCUGCCAACAACCAGUCCAGCAGGAAGCAGGCACAGAGAUCUGGGUGGAGCUCCUGGUGGCCCAAGGAUUGAUCAGAGAGCUGAAUAUGGCCCCAGGGGAUGACAGUGGUUCCCUAGAAAGGUGGUUCUCACACGGAGAGGAAGCUGCAAAGUAUAGGUCAAGGGCAUUGGACCAGCAGUGAAAUUAGCUGUUAGCUCACUGAUGUGAGUGAACAACAAGAUUACAUUCAAUUUAAAAAAAAAAAAACAAAAGCUGACUGCCUAAACCAAACAAACACAAGGGUCAGAAAGGUAUUAUUUAUAGUUUAAAUUAAUAGCUUUAAUAUCUUUCCCAUUUUUAUAUAACCCACCACAGCGGCCUAUGAAGCAACUUGCUCAUUUGUUUAAACUGAAAUAAACAGCUUGCAAACUUG
Molecule: non-coding RNA, 4830 nt
Organism: Anas platyrhynchos (mallard)
Lineage: Eukaryota; Metazoa; Chordata; Aves; Anseriformes; Anatidae
Source: RefSeq, a predicted model, not a curated record